Molecule: non-coding RNA, 104 nt
Organism: Acanthosepion pharaonis
Lineage: Eukaryota; Metazoa; Mollusca; Cephalopoda; Sepiida; Sepiidae
Source: the annotation of a GenBank genome assembly
ACAGCCAUAUGAUGGUGAAACAACGGUUCCCAUACGAUCACAGAAGAUAAGCAACGUCGAGCCUGGUUAGUACUUAGAUGGGUAACCGUUUGGGAAUACCAGGU